UACGGGGGGAGCAAGCGUUGUUCGGAUUUACUGGGCGUAAAGGGCGCGUAGGCGGCCACCGCAAGUCGACUGUGAAAUCUCCGGGCUUAACUCGGAAAGGUCAGCCGAUACUGCGGGGCUAGAGUGCAGAAGGGGCAACUGGAAUUCCGGGUGUAGCGGUGGAAUGCGUAGAGAUCCGGAAGAACACCGGUGGCGAAGGCGGCCUGCUGGGCAGUUGCUGACACUGAGGCGCGACAGCGUGGGGAGCAAACAGG
Molecule: ribosomal RNA, 254 nt
Filed under: uncultured bacterium
Lineage: Bacteria
Description: partial 16S ribosomal RNA
Rfam family: Bacterial small subunit ribosomal RNA
Source: RNAcentral